GUCAAGUCAUCAUGCCCCUUAUGCCCAGGGCUACACACGUGCUACAUUGGCCGGUACAAAGGGCUGCGAUACCGCGAGGUGGAGCGAAUCCCAAAAAGCCGGUCUCGGUUCGGAUUGGAGGCUGAAACUCGCCUCCAUGAAGGCGGAGUUGCUAGUAACCGCAGGUCAGCCAUACUGCGGUGAAUACGUUCCCGGGCCUU
Molecule: ribosomal RNA, 200 nt
Filed under: uncultured organism
Description: partial small subunit ribosomal RNA
Rfam family: Bacterial small subunit ribosomal RNA
Source: RNAcentral